UUCCUUCAGGCCCUCCUCCGGAUCCUGUGUUGGAAAACUCCACUCUGGAGAUUCUCUCAGGCCCUGUGGACUGCCUCGCUCUGGAUCCUCAGCUGCAGCUCUGCUCCGGAGAUAACCACUAGCAGCGUGUUUGCAGGCCUCCGCCUGCCUCAGGGUCACUCCCACAGCGUUCCUCAGGCACCUUCUGCAGUUUCUGCCUGCUGAGAUGCUCAGCCGCUCCUCUCUCCUUGCGGCCUGCAGGGAACUGACCCCUCUCUGCCCCUCUCCAGGGCUGGAAAUACCUUUGAGCAGCCUCCCUCUGCCAAUCCUGAGUGAGACGCUGCUCCGGAAAUUUGGUGAAUGUUUCAA
This is a long non-coding RNA of Gavialis gangeticus (Gharial), 348 nucleotides long. RefSeq lists it as uncharacterized. NCBI's taxonomy places the organism in Eukaryota, Metazoa, Chordata, Crocodylia, Gavialidae. The record is from RefSeq and is a predicted model, not a curated record. The transcript is spliced from 3 exons.